Ornithodoros turicata is the source of this 378-nucleotide long non-coding RNA. RefSeq lists it as uncharacterized. The transcript is spliced from 3 exons. The record is from RefSeq and is a predicted model, not a curated record. NCBI's taxonomy places the organism in Eukaryota, Metazoa, Arthropoda, Arachnida, Ixodida, Argasidae.
UUAACCGGCGUGCAUCUCCAUUCGCUGCCAUUCUUUCAACGGCCAUUAGGAAGAACGGCAGUCACCGGACUUCCUUCUAGGAGAUGGGACCGUGCUGGCGCGUAAUGCUGCUUCUGGCUGCCCUGGUACCAAUAGUCACGGGCUUCUUCGAGUUCUUCUUCAAACGCAUCAACUUUUGCCACCACCGAGAAAUGAAGUGCGACAAGGACGCUUCCUGCUGCAGUGGCCGUUGCCGUCCCAGUACUUACCCGCCUUACACCAUGCGCUGUUUCUGAGGAGCGGUUCGUAGAAUGCUCUCAUAAAGAAGUUCAGUGAAAGAGCUCCAGUAAGGCGUUCUUUUCUGCUUCGAUGAUUUCGAAAUAAAUGUUUUUUCUCAGA